Odontomachus brunneus is the source of this 1802-nucleotide long non-coding RNA. RefSeq lists it as uncharacterized. The record is from RefSeq and is a predicted model, not a curated record. The transcript has 2 exons. NCBI's taxonomy places the organism in Eukaryota, Metazoa, Arthropoda, Insecta, Hymenoptera, Formicidae.
AGCUUGAGGUGUGAUCAAUCGCUCGUUGUCGUGGUCUCGCACUGCUUCGUCGCCGUUGAUUCCGAUGGCUCCGUUCGUACGCGCUUGUACAUCGAGACUGACAGGCAGUCGGUCACGAAGUAGGCGGUGUAGGUGCGCAGCUCGAUAACGCAUCCGAUUCACGCCCAAUUGGAACACCAACAUAUUGUCAAGAUUUUUUAUUUUGUCACGUUUUUUGUGAAAUCGAACCAUGUAAUCGCGUGAUUGUUAAUAGUUGUGACACUAGAAACUUGUCGCAUGUGAGAUACUCAAAUAUUUAUUCAGAAUGAGGCCUGUGUUAAUCAAGUGAGAUAUUUAGAUUUCAAUUUGGAGUUAGAUAAGAACUUUUCAGGUGGAUUACACGACUAUAGAUAUAAAUGUCACAUAUACCAUAAUUCGAUUGCAGAACUUGGAUUUAAUUCUGAGUAAAAAAGAGGGUAUGCAAAAUUAAAAUUUGAAAACCGUUAUUCAAACAAGAAAAUGUUACAUAUUCUUAUGUAUUUUGAAUCGUAGAAUUCGAAAAUGACCAUGAAAAUUAGGGGACUAGCGGGGAAAACGUGGGAAAUUAAAAAAAAUGGGAAAAAACAUGAAAUUGUAAAAACUCUCUGACGUAAUUUUUUUACAUUUCUACGUUUUCUUGCGUUAUUUUUUUCUUGUUAUUUUGAGUCACAAAAUCUCUAGUGAACUAUCUGGAGGUACUCAACAUAUUGCUCGACAUUUAUUCAAUAUAUUUGUGAUGGCAUAUUAAUGAAUAAAAAACAUAUUACUUUACUAUUAUAAUAAUUUACGUAAUUACACAUAUGUAUAUGCAAUACGAAUUUUGCCUUCAUUGGCUGAAUAUCUUACUAUAAAAACCUCGAUAACUUCGAGACAGUUAACAUAAUGUGAAUAUAAUUAUAGCAUUUUGAAAAGAUCUCAAGAAGGGCUAUAAGAAUAUGUAAUAAAAAAUAAGAGGUUUCAAUAAAAAAAUUCAAGAUAAUUUUUGUUUGACUUUGGCGACGUAAUCAAAAGUUAAACUGAUAAAGAGAGUAAAUAGAUAUUUUUAAGCCAUACAACUUUUAUCUCAAACAUUUUUUUUCUACAACUAUAUUUCUCAAAAUAUUUCGCUGAGCUGGAACUUUUUGCACACCUUGUACAUAUGUUAAGUACCUCCAAAUAGUUGACUCGAGAUUCUGCGACUCAAAAUAACAAGAAAAAAAUAACGCAAGAAAACGUAAGAGUAAACGUAAAAAACUACGUCACGAGAGUUUUCACGAUUUCACGUUUUUUCCCAUUUUUCUUAAUUUCCCACGUUUUCCCCGUUAGUCUCCUAAUUUUCAUGGUCAUUUUCGAGUGCUAUGAGUCAAAAUACAUAAGAAUAUGUAAUAUUUUCUUGUUUGAAUAACGGUUUCCAAACCCAAUUUUGCAUACUCUCCUUUGAGUAUUUCACAUAAGACAAGUUUUAAGUGCCAACUAAUAAUACGAGCCUUAGUUUUACAGUUAAAUUAUAUAAUAUAUGUGAUAUUUAUAUCUGUAAUUUAACUGAAAAACAAUUAUUAACUUAAUAACAAUUAUUUAACUGAGAAACAAUUAUUAAUUUUUAUAAGUUUCUUUGUUAUACAAUUUUUAUUUAAUUUUUAUUAAAUUUAUUGCAAUAACUAUUAGUACGGACCUUAAAAAUUUAUCUCGCCGCUUUCAAAUAGAAGAAUAACGCGAUAAAUAACGUUUGAAAAUGUUGUUGGCAAAUACGCACUAAUAAACUGUCCUCUUUUCGCUCAAGCGAUCGGAGCACACUUUUUAAAGUA